CCACGUGAUGAACAUCUGAUAGGGACAGCUUAUACCGAUGGUAUAUGAUGCCAACCUGGAUCACAGUAUUUUAGUAGAUGCUCUGUUUUCUGAUA
RNAcentral lists this small nucleolar RNA (95 nucleotides) under Pyricularia grisea. RNAcentral's name for it is "Magnaporthe grisea A. fumigatus snoRNA Afu_335". It matches the Rfam family "A. fumigatus snoRNA Afu_335". RNAcentral also lists the same sequence under 1 other name. Lineage: Eukaryota; Fungi; Ascomycota; Sordariomycetes; Magnaporthales; Pyriculariaceae. The record is from Rfam by way of RNAcentral.